UACGUAGGGUCCAAGCGUUGUCCGGAUUUAUUGGGCGUAAAGAGCUCGUAGGCGGUUCGGUAAGUCGGAUGUGAAAACUCAGGGCUCAACCCGGAGACGCCACCUGAUACUGCUGUGGCUUGAGUCCGGUAGGGGAGCGUGGAAUUCCUGGUGUAGCGGUGAAAUGCGCAGAUAUCAGGAGGAACACCAGCGGCGAAGGCGGCGCUCUGGGCCGGAACUGACGCUGAGGAGCGAAAGCGUGGGUAGCAAACAGG
Molecule: ribosomal RNA, 254 nt
Filed under: uncultured bacterium
Lineage: Bacteria
Description: partial 16S ribosomal RNA
Rfam family: Bacterial small subunit ribosomal RNA
Source: RNAcentral